Long non-coding RNA from Cyprinus carpio carpio, 2986 nucleotides. The record is from Ensembl. Lineage: Eukaryota; Metazoa; Chordata; Actinopteri; Cypriniformes; Cyprinidae.
UGCUGCCCUCAAAUCAGCUGUGCAAGCAGUUGGAGUUUGUGUAUCACUAGAGUCUCCAAAGUCACAUUAAAUUGGAGUUUGUGUAUCACUAGAGUCCCCAAAGUGACAUUAAAUUGGAGUUUGUGUAUCACUAGAGUUUACAAAGUCACAUUAAAUUGGAGUUUUUGUAUCAUUAAAGUCUACAAAGUCACAUUAAAUUGGCGUUUGUGUAUCACUAGAGUCCCCAAAGUGACAUUAAAUUGGAGUUUGUGUAUCAUUAGAGUCCCCAAAGUGACAUUAAAUUGGAGUUUGUGUAUCACUAGAGUCUCUAAAGUGACAUUAAAUUGGAGUUUGUGUAUAACUAGUCUACAAAGUCACAUUAAAUUGGAGUUUGUGUAUUACUAGUCACCAAAGUGACAUUAAAAUGGAGUUUGUGUAUCACUAGAGUCUACAAAGUCACAUUAAAUUGGAGUUUGUGUAUCACUAGAGUCUACAAAGUCACAUUAGAUUGGAGUUUGUGUAUCACUAGAGUCUACAAAGUCACAUUAAUUUGGAGUUUGUGUGUCACCACUGUAUUCCAAACAUUGAAGUCAUUCACUUGACAAUUUAAGUAAUUUUUAUUUGUAUAGAACUUUUUACAAUCAUCAGAAAGUCAUGUCUUAAAUGUUUUAUGGAUAGUAUUUUUGAAAAUAAAUACAAAUUGAACUAGAGAGGUGCAGGCAGUUGUCAUGGCAUGAUUCUUUGCCAUAGAGACACUUGUUUUUAAAGUAAUAAAUAUUACUGUUCCGUGAUCUUCAUUAGGCAUUUCCCUGGGGCUGAAAUGUUUUAUAUUUUUGUUGAAAUCAUGAACAGGAUCCCUUUUUUUUUAUUGUUUAUUGGCAGUGGCCUACAUCUUGUGCUCCUAUUAAUGACAAUGCAGGUGUGAUGGCCUAAUUGUUAAAAGUAACCAAUCAUAAAUGAGUAGGAAAAAAAAAUUUUCAAUUCUCUUAAGACAGUUAUGCAGUGGAAAAGCUUACCAAUCCAUAACCAUCAAAUAGGAAAAAACAACUUUACCAUGUCAAACGUUUACGUCAUCUUCCAAUAUUUGAACUUGGAAUUGUACUUCUGUUUCUAAUUAGCAUAAAUUAUAUGUAUCUUCUAAAAGUCCUUAAAGUAUAUCACAACCAGAGAUUGUGUAUCAACAUAGUCCUCAAAGUUUCACUUGAUAAGAGUUUGUGUUUGUCCUCAAAUUGGACAUAAAAAAUACUGUCCCCAAAGUGAGGUAAAAAGUCAGGUCUGUAAAGAAGGUUUUAAUUGAAAAUAUCAAGUGAUAUUUGUACUGAAGGCUUCAUCUGUAGUGCAGUUAUAUCUUUCUCUUGUCUCUAGACCAUUCAGAAAGGGAUGUACCCAAAGGUAGGGUGUUCAGUCAUAGGUCCUCAUUGGGGGGUUAAGCAGGUAUGUGUGUGUGUGUGUGUGUGUGUGUGUGUGAGAGAGAGUGAGUGAGUGUGUGUGUGUGUGUGUGUGAGUGAGUGAGUGAGUGAGUGAGUGUGUGUGUGUGUGUGAGUGAGUGAGUGAGUGAGUGAGUGUGUGUGUGUGUGUGUGUGUGUGUGUGAGUGUGUGUGUGUGUGUGUGUGUGUGUGUGUGUGUGCGUGCGUGCGUGUGUGCGUGUGUGCGUGUGUGUGUACUUGUUUAUGCUACAUUGAAGGGACCAAAUGUCCCCACAAGGAUAGUAAAACCUGAAAUUUCUGACAUUGUGUGGAACAGGAUUUGCAUGUGUGUAUGUGUUUCUGUGAAUUGUGGGGACUUUCCAUAGACUUCUAUUACUUCAAUGUUUUUUUUGGUUUUUUUUAGUUCAGAUCGGGCAUUUUCUUGUUGGAUAAACAUCUAUAAGAUCUAUGUUUCCACACUUAAAAAGAAAAGUCUUUGAAGACCAAGAUUCAUAGAGUUAAUGUUUUAAAAGUUUUUAAUUUUGAUAAGAGCACAGGGGAGAAAAGAUGUCCAGAAGGAAAAGAUUGAAAUGUUAUGCUUUGAAGUUCAUCCUAAAGUGUUCCUUUUCCCUCACAUCACUUAGUCAUUUAGUGCUUUGUGAAAGACUAUGUAAAACACAGGCCUUGAUUUGUGUUUCUUUCGGUGAGUGCUCUAAAUAAUCAUCCCGUUAACUUUUUGUCCUAAGAAUGUGUAUAUGAUUUUUUUUUUUUGUGAAAUGAUUGAUUGCAGUACUCCAAAGUUGUCUAUACAAGAAAACACACACUGAGGGUUGUUGUUUUUUCUCAACUCAAAUGCUGGGUUGAGUCUGUUAUGUAAGAAAGCUGGAUAAAUUCUCUCCAAAUUAGGUUGAUAAAUGUUCAUAAUCAGAAAACCAAUAAUGCUGGGUUCAAGUUCCAGCUAUCCCACUGCACCUAUAAUUCUGCGGUGCUCCUGACAGGAAUAUGUGUGGAAAAUAUAAGAAAACUAAUCGAAGUGGAGAGGACAGAAAUCUUCAAAACUGCCCAUGAGCGAGGAGUGUGUUCUUUUAAAAUGAGGGUUUUGUCGCACCAGAAUCAAUCAAGCGAUGGCCAGACAGAGGGAACUGAAAAGGCCAGAAUUGUGCUUGAGAGGAGUGAUUAAAAACAUGUUCAGUUGACAAUAAUGCACAGUUUAUUCCAGACUUUCAGUGUUUACAUUGCAUGUUUUCAGUCUGUGUUUCUUGGCUUAAAAUCUGACACGGUUGCCAUAGUGGGACUAUUUUUGUUGGCUGAAGAGAAAUCAAAAAUAAAAUGAAAAAACUGGUCAAAUUUGCCAGCAAUGGACAACAUAAUAUUCUCACACUAUUAUUCUAGCCUGAUCAUUUUUUUUUUUUUUUUAUUAAAAUAUCUUAAUAUAUCUACAAUGAUGCAUCCUUAUGCUUUGCCGCAGGAUGUACACACAACUGCGUGUACAUUUUCUGUAAUCUUUGCAAGAAUAUAACAUGUAACACAUAUCUUAAGCAACAUACUGAAGAUUUCGAUGCAAUGUGUGUUACAUGACUAAACAUGCGGCAUUGUUUUCG